This 403-nucleotide ribosomal RNA is filed under the name uncultured bacterium. RNAcentral's name for it is "bacterial SSU rRNA". It matches the Rfam family "Bacterial small subunit ribosomal RNA", at positions 356 to 773 of the family's 1533-position model. The record is from RNAcentral.
GGGGGAUAUUGCACAAUGGAGGAAACUCUGAUGCAGCGACGCCGCGUGAGGGAAGAAGGUCUUCGGAUUGUAAACCUCUGUCUUUGGGGACGAAUAAAAUGACGGUACCCAAGGAGGAAGCCACGGCUAACUACGUGCCAGCAGCCGCGGUAAUACGUAGGUGGCAAGCGUUGUCCGGAUUUACUGGGUGUAAAGGGUGCGUAGGCGGGUUAUCAAGUUGGAUGUGAAAUCUCCGUGCUUAACGCGGAGGCUGCAUUCAAAACUGGUAAUCUUGAGUGAGGUAGAGGCAGGCGGAAUUCCCGGUGUAGCGGUGAAAUGCGUAGAGAUCGGGAGGAACACCAGUGGCGAAGGCGGCCUGCUGGGCCUUAACUGACGCUGAUGCACGAAAGCAUGGGUAGCAAAC